Molecule: long non-coding RNA, 588 nt
Filed under: Rattus norvegicus (Norway rat)
Lineage: Eukaryota; Metazoa; Chordata; Mammalia; Rodentia; Muridae
Description: long non-coding RNA NONRATT002600
Source: RNAcentral
CAAGAUCAGCAAGGGCUCUUAAUGGCUGACACAUCUCUCCAGACCCCCAUAUACAUAUACGCUAAUUUUUUGAGACAGGUUCUGUCAUUGAAACCUAUUUCGCCAACUGGCCAAAUUGCCAAAUUGAGAUACACACACACACACACACACACACACACACACACACACACACACACACAUCUCCGUACUCUGAAUACAGAUGUACUCUGCCAUGCUGAACUUUUUUUUAUCUGGGUUCUAGGAUUGAACUCGCUAGUACUUAACCAACCCAGCCAGCUCCUUGGAGUGCCCCUACCAUCUUUGUAACCUUUUAAACUUUGUAGCUCUGGAAACUGAACCCAGAACGUGCCUCAAGCUAGGCAAUCUCAAUUGCAGAGCCACAUCCCAGUGUCUCACUGGGGGAUUUUAGAAAACUGUGUUCCCAGCCCUUUUUCACUUUUUUUUAGCCAUCCCCCUCCCCACCCUUAACCUCUUGAGAGAGAUGAUAGGCUAGUACCACCACCACCUAGCCCAGUUCCCACCCAUACUUGAAGUUCCCUCAUGCACCCCAAACUCAAAUGAGAAAAGUCAUUUGUAAAUGAAAAGGAA